GUAGUCUGCAACCCGACUACAUGAAGCCGGAAUCGCUAGUAAUCGCGGAUCAGAAUGCCGCGGUGAAUACGUUCCCGGGUCUUGUACACACCGCCCGUCACACCAUGGGAGCCGGGGGUGCUUGAAGUGCGUCGCCGCAAGGCGCGCCCUAGAGCAAAACCGGUGACUGGGGCUAAGUCGUAACAAGGUAAC
This 192-nucleotide ribosomal RNA is filed under the name uncultured bacterium. RNAcentral's name for it is "partial 16S ribosomal RNA". It matches the Rfam family "Bacterial small subunit ribosomal RNA", at positions 1300 to 1500 of the family's 1533-position model. The record is from RNAcentral.